Molecule: non-coding RNA, 214 nt
Filed under: Amborella trichopoda
Lineage: Eukaryota; Viridiplantae; Streptophyta; Magnoliopsida; Amborellales; Amborellaceae
Description: Bacterial large subunit ribosomal RNA
Rfam family: Bacterial large subunit ribosomal RNA
Source: Rfam by way of RNAcentral
CAUAGGCAGUGGCUUGGUUAAAGGAACCCACUGGAGCCCUAGCAAAAGCGAGUCUUCAUAGGGCAAUUGUCACUGCUUAUGGACCCGAACCUGGGUGAUUUAUUUAUCCAUGACCAGGAUGAAGCUUAGGUGAAACUAAGUGGAGGUCGGAACCGAGAAUCAGUGGAUGAGUUGUGGUUAGGGGUGAAAUGCCACUCGAACCCAGAGCGGCUGA